This 508-nucleotide long non-coding RNA is filed under the name Homo sapiens (human). RNAcentral's name for it is "HSALNT0355199". Lineage: Eukaryota; Metazoa; Chordata; Mammalia; Primates; Hominidae. The record is from RNAcentral.
AAGCUCCCAGGAGCCCUAAAGACAGAUGUCGUGAUCCUCAUCAUUCCUAAGGAGGAAGAGUCAGAGAGGCUAUGGUCUCGGGCCCAAGUUCAAGGUCCCAGUGGAGUCAUUGUUGGUGGAAGGAUCUGAACCCACCAAUCGGCCAGCUCUGUAUGAGAAGACAAGGACCUUUCUCCAUGAUCCUUUCGUCCCUGUAGCCCAGCCUACAGCAGAAAGAUGGGGCUGCACCCCUGCCGUGGGCUGAGGCUGGGAAGGAACGCGGACGGGGAGGAGGACCCAGGCAGCACCUCCCCGCGGACCAGAACUCGAACCCACAGCUCUGGACUUAGCCGGGGGCUCUGGCGCUCGCCUCCGCCUCCGAGCGGAUGUGCCGGAUAUUUGUUGCCCUAAGUUCCUGAAUCACCUCCUGAGAAAUGCAUUGUGGUGGGCGUGUGUGUUCCUCUGGGGACUCCGUGCUUGGGCUUAAAGCAUUUAGGAAAUCAAUAAAAUAAAUACUCUCUAAGCCUCA